RNAcentral lists this ribosomal RNA (439 nucleotides) under uncultured bacterium. Its description in RNAcentral is "partial 16S ribosomal RNA". It matches the Rfam family "Bacterial small subunit ribosomal RNA", at positions 339 to 795 of the family's 1533-position model. The record is from RNAcentral.
CUACGGGCGGCUGCAGUGGGGAAUAUUGCACAAUGGAGGAAACUCUGAUGCAGCAACGCCGCGUGGAGGAUGACACUUUUCGGAGCGUAAACUCCUUUUAUAUAGGAAGAAGAUGACGGUACUAUAUGAAUAAGCGCCGGCUAACUCCGUGCCAGCAGCCGCGGUAAUACGGAGGGCGCAAGCGUUACUCGGAAUCACUGGGCGUAAAGAGCGUGUAGGCGGAUUAAAAAGUCAGAAGUGAAAGCCCAUAGCUUAACUAUAGAACUGCUUCUGAAACUCUUAAUCUAGAAUAUGGGAGAGGUAGAUGGAAUUUCUGGUGUAGGGGUAAAAUCCGUAGAGAUCAGAAGGAAUACCGAUUGCGAAGGCGAUCUACUAGAACAUUAUUGACGCUGAGACGCGAAAGCGUGGGGAGCAAACAGGAUUAGAUACCCCAGUAGUC